This 215-nucleotide long non-coding RNA is filed under the name Ictidomys tridecemlineatus (thirteen-lined ground squirrel). RNAcentral's name for it is "lncRNA (ENSSTOG00000031056.1)". The record is from RNAcentral. Lineage: Eukaryota; Metazoa; Chordata; Mammalia; Rodentia; Sciuridae.
AAGGAGAAAUGCUGCUUAGAGGGCCUCCUGUCAAGAACAACCUGCAAAAAAGCACAAGAAGACUAAACUCUUUGACAAUGACACAUUUUGCCAUAGCUCCAGUUCAUGUUUGAAAACAAUCAAUGUAUUGUGUCUACUCAUGGUGGUAUGAGACAAGAGUGAGUCCAUCAACAAGGACUUCUGGUUUUUUGGACCUUUCCUCUACCUAACUCUUA